Molecule: ribosomal RNA, 358 nt
Filed under: uncultured bacterium
Lineage: Bacteria
Description: bacterial SSU rRNA
Rfam family: Bacterial small subunit ribosomal RNA
Source: RNAcentral
GAUAAACGCUGGCGGCACACAUAAGACAUGCAAGUCGAACGGACAAUUUUGAAAAUGUUUACAUUUUUUUAAUUGUUAGUGGCGGACUGGUGAGUAACACGUAAGCAACCUGCCUAUUAGAGGGGAAUAACAAUGAGAAAUCAUUGCUAAUACCGCAUAUGCCAUAAUUAUCACAUGAUAGUAGUGGGAAAGAAGUAAUUCGCUAAUAGAUGGGCUUGCGUCUGAUUAGUUAGUUGGUGGGGUAAUGGCCGUACCAAGACUACGAUCAGUAGCCGGACUGAGAGGUUCAACGGCCACAUUGGGACUGAGACACGGCCCAGACUCCUACGGGAGGCAGCAGUGGGGAAUAUUGCACAAU